CUUAAGAAGGUCAACUACUCUGAGGCUGCUGUGCCCUGUGGUCUUGCCAACCAGCAGUCCUGGAAGAGCCCAGCCUGCACUCUUCCCCAGGGUGCCAGGCACACAAGUGGAAAAGUCAUCUUGGAAGUGGCUCCUGCAGCUCCAGCUCUUCAGCCCCAGCCACCUGAGCCCAGUCUUUUCAGCUAAGGCCCGAGAUUGAGGAGGAGGGACGAGUCAUACCUCCUGCAUAACAAAGUGGUGGCUGCCUAUUCAAUAAAGACACAGCUCCUUGGCAUGGCAUCAGUGACCUCCACCUAUGUCCUUGGGCUGAAGGAGGCUUGAGUCUUCUCUGUACCUGUUUAUUCUCCAGCAUGGCACCAUCGUUGAAAUAACUACACAAGGAAAGAAGAGCACAUUUACUAGGGCAUUCAUUUGCUAUAUUAUUUGAAGUGCAAACAAUUGAAGAAAACUUCAGUGUUCAACAGGGAACUCUUUAAAUACACUGUGGUACAUCUGUACAGCAGAACUCUCUACUGUGCACUGGAAGCAUGGACUAGGUCUUCUCCAAGAUACAUGUGAACUAACAGCAAGUCACAAAGCUAUUGAUAUAGCAGUGAAGUCUCAGGAUACGCUUGGGGAAAACAACUCUGCCCAGGAAUUUGAGAUCACAUUUCCCUCUUUCCUGCAUCAAGCGCAAGCUGCUCUUCUGCUUUCAAGGCCUGCCUAUGGCCACGCUGUAAGGAAACUCAGUCAGCCCCAUGGAGCGGUCCACAUGGCAAGGAACUAAGGCCUCCUGCAAUAGCCAGCAAAGAACUGAGACCUUCUGCCAAUAGCCAUUUAUGUGCCUUGAAGUGAAAGCAGCUCUAGAAAGCCGAAGGACAAAAGGAUCCAGGACCUCUGAGUCAUUUGGAGGAGUGGUACCCUAGGAAGCCACCCUUACAUUAAAUCACGAACUUGGGACUUGUUUGCUAUCGUCGUUACUGCUACUAAUUCUAUGUAAUAUACUCUCCUUUUACUUCUCACAGCAUUUA
Long non-coding RNA from Callithrix jacchus (white-tufted-ear marmoset), 1010 nucleotides. RefSeq lists it as uncharacterized. The record is from RefSeq and is a predicted model, not a curated record. Lineage: Eukaryota; Metazoa; Chordata; Mammalia; Primates; Cebidae.